GGGGCUGUAGCUCAGAGGGAGAGCGCCUGCUUUGCAAGCAGGAUGUCAGGGGUUCGAGUCCCCUCAGCUCCACCA
Molecule: transfer RNA, 75 nt
Filed under: Dehalococcoidia bacterium
Lineage: Bacteria; Bacillati; Chloroflexota; Dehalococcoidia
Description: tRNA-Ala
Rfam family: tRNA
About the family: Transfer RNA (tRNA) molecules are approximately 80 nucleotides in length. Their secondary structure includes four short double-helical elements and three loops (D, anti-codon, and T loops).
Source: RNAcentral